RNAcentral lists this transfer RNA (73 nucleotides) under Chelonia mydas (Green sea turtle). It matches the Rfam family "tRNA". From Rfam's summary of the family: Transfer RNA (tRNA) molecules are approximately 80 nucleotides in length. Lineage: Eukaryota; Metazoa; Chordata; Testudines; Cheloniidae. The record is from Rfam by way of RNAcentral.
GCUGAAGUAGCUCAGUUGGGAGAGUGUUAGAGUGAAGAUCUAGAGGUCCCUGGUUCGAUCCCAGUCUUCAGCA